RNAcentral lists this ribosomal RNA (497 nucleotides) under uncultured bacterium. Its description in RNAcentral is "partial 16S ribosomal RNA". It matches the Rfam family "Bacterial small subunit ribosomal RNA", at positions 28 to 507 of the family's 1533-position model. The record is from RNAcentral.
GAUGAACGCUGGCGGCGUGCCUAAUACAUGCAAGUCGAGCGAACAGACGAGGAGCUUGCUCCUCUGACGUUAGCGGCGGACGGGUGAGUAACACGUGGAUAACCUACCUAUAAGACUGGGAUAACUUCGGGAAACCGGAGCUAAUACCGGAUAAUAUAUUGAACCGCAUGGUUCAAUAGUGAAAGACGGUUUUGCUGUCACUUAUAGCUGGAUCCGCGCCGCAUUAGCUAGUUGGUAAGGUAACGGCUUACCAAGGCAACGAUGCGUAGCCGACCUGAGAGGGUGAUCGGCCACACUGGAACUGAGACGCGGUCCAGACUCCUACGGGAGGCAGCAGUAGGGAAUCUUCCGCAAUGGGCGAAAGCCUGACGGAGCAACGCCGCGUGAGUGAUGAAGGUCUUCGGAUCGUAAAACUCUGUUAUUAGGGAAGAACAAAUGUGUAAGUAACUAUGCACGUCUUGACGGUACCUAAUCAGAAAGCCACGGCUAACUACGUG